Molecule: ribosomal RNA, 360 nt
Filed under: Simrothiellidae sp. 7 FSB-2019
Lineage: Eukaryota; Metazoa; Mollusca; Solenogastres; Cavibelonia; Simrothiellidae
Description: partial large subunit ribosomal RNA
Source: RNAcentral
GGAUACGUCUAAACGGCCGCAGAAUUUUAACUGUGCUAAGGUAGCAUAAUCAUUUGUCUUUUAAUUGAAGACUGGUAUGAAUGGUUUAACGAAAUUAAGCUGUCUCUUUUAUACUAAAUAUAAUUUAAUCUUAAAGUUAAAAAGCUUUAAUAGAAUAAAAAGACAAAAAGACCCUAUAGAGUUUUAUUUACAAUAUUUUAAUAAAAAUAAAUGUAAAUUUUGUUGGGGCAACUAAGAAAAACUAAAUUUUUCUUUAAUUAAAUAAUUAUAAUAUAUCAUUUAUUAAAUAAAUCAAAAUAAAUUACCUUAGGGAUAACAGCGUAAUUUUCUUUGAGAGUCCAAAUCGAAAAGAAAAAUUAC